CACGAUCACACGGACUCUAUACUACAGAGCAGCAGUACCUACCACACAUUUUACAACAUAUUUGUCAGUGGUGCAGUAUCUGCUAAUCAUUUCCCAUUGUCCUAUCAGUCAUCUCUCCUUACUCGGUGUAUGUGAUCCGUGACAUAGGACCUAGCAAAAUGAGCUUCAGGGUAAUUCCUCCUGCUACUCCCCGUUAGAGAAGGGCACUCCAGUGGGGGCUGGGACCACUUUGCCAGCACGGAAGGGAUGUUUGAGCCUUUGCCCAGUUCUUCUGGACAAUGGCCAGGGGCCUUGAGUAUCACAACGUGGCCCUUAUUGGACAUCGUCAACCACUGUCUGGAUGACACUGUACUCCAGUGGGAGAUAGAACUGCUGAGGAGUUUGGUUUUCUAGGGCUUCUCCAGAUACCUACAUUUUUGUAAAGAGAGAAGGCUAAAAACAUCACCAGAAUAUGCCUGCAGGGUCCAUCCCCACCAUCCCUCCCUUGUUAAGUCAAGUUCAGGACCCUCCAUGUCAUCAGAGCCUAUUCCUGUUAUAGUCAAGUCAACUUUAUUUAUAUAGCACUUUUAAAAAUACAGAUUGUGUCAAAGCAACUGUACAGCAUUAAUUAGGAAAAUAGUGUGUCAGUAAUGCAAAAUAACAAUAGUAAACAGUCAUUUUUCGGUUAAAGGCAGUUCAUCGUUGAAUUCAAUGUCAUCAUCCAGCUCAGUUCAGUUUAAAUAGUAUUUGUACAAUCAAGUCAGCGAUACUGCUGGAAAUGAAAUGUCCCCAACUAACCAUGCCAGAAGCGACAGAGGCAAGGAACCAAAACUCCAUCAGUGACAGAAUGGAGAAAAAACCUUGGGAGAAACCAGGCUCAGUCAGGGGGCCAGUUCUCCUCUGGCCAGACGAAACCAGCAGUUCAAUUCCAGGCUGCAGCAAAGUCACAUUGUCGGAGGACUCAGCUGGUUCUUGUGGUCUUGUCCCGGUGGCCGUCUGAGACAAGGUCUUUACAGGGUAUCUGGG
Molecule: long non-coding RNA, 1005 nt
Organism: Cyprinus carpio carpio
Lineage: Eukaryota; Metazoa; Chordata; Actinopteri; Cypriniformes; Cyprinidae
Source: Ensembl